Molecule: ribosomal RNA, 491 nt
Filed under: uncultured bacterium
Lineage: Bacteria
Description: partial 16S ribosomal RNA
Rfam family: Bacterial small subunit ribosomal RNA
Source: RNAcentral
AUUGACGCUGGCGGCAUGCUUUACACAUGCAAGUCGAACGGUAACAGGCCUUCGGGUGCUGCCGAGUGGCGAACGGGUGAGUAAUGCAUCGGAACGUGCCCAGAGGUGGGGGAUAACGCAGCGAAAGCUGUGCUAAUACCGCAUGUGAUCUGAGGAUGAAAGCGGGGGACCAGGCAGCAAUGUUUGGCCUCGCGCCUUUGGAGCGGCCGAUGUCAGAUUAGGUAGUUGGUGGGGUAAAGGCCUACCAAGCCGACGAUCUGUAGCUGGUCUGAGAGGACGACCAGCCACACUGGGACUGAGACACGGCCCAGACUCCUACGGGAGGCAGCAGUGGGGAAUUUUGGACAAUGGGCGCAAGCCUGAUCCAGCAAUGCCGCGUGCGGGAAGAAGGCCUUCGGGUUGUAAACCGCUUUUGUACGGAACGAAAAGGCUCUGGCUAAUACCUGGGGCUGAUGACGGUACCGUAAGAAUAAGCACCGGCUAACUACGUG